GUACUGCCUACUCCCAAGCCAUUGAUUCAGUAGCAAAGCAAAGCAUGCACACACAGCGGCUAAAAUAUUCUUGACCGCCAUGCAAUACACAGGAGCAAAUAACUCCUAUAAGAGCAUAGCCAAAAGAGGCUCUAAACAUGACCUUGUUUUAAAAUAUAAGGCUCGAGACCAUUAAAAACAUCCUCCAACAAUGACCCUAUUUUAUGAUGAUCAGUAGCUGGUACGAAAGGAUGAUCAGCCACACUUGGACUGGAACAUGGGCCAGACUCCUACAUGAGGCAAUCAUGAGGAAUUUUCCGCAAUGGGCGAAAGCCUGACGGAGCAAUGUCGUGUGGAGGUGGAAGGUCUACGGGUCGUCAACUUCUUUUCUCGAGAAAAAUCACUAAAUAAUUAUAGAGCUCGGUCUCACAUGUCCUAAAUAUAGUAC
RNAcentral lists this non-coding RNA (427 nucleotides) under Zea mays. RNAcentral's name for it is "Bacterial small subunit ribosomal RNA". It matches the Rfam family "Bacterial small subunit ribosomal RNA", at positions 171 to 508 of the family's 1533-position model. The record is from Rfam by way of RNAcentral. Lineage: Eukaryota; Viridiplantae; Streptophyta; Magnoliopsida; Poales; Poaceae.